Non-coding RNA from Homo sapiens (human), 314 nucleotides. It matches the Rfam family "Metazoan signal recognition particle RNA". From Rfam's summary of the family: The signal recognition particle (SRP) is a universally conserved ribonucleoprotein. It is involved in the co-translational targeting of proteins to membranes. The eukaryotic SRP consists of a 300-nucleotide 7S RNA and six proteins: SRPs 72, 68, 54, 19, 14, and 9. Lineage: Eukaryota; Metazoa; Chordata; Mammalia; Primates; Hominidae. The record is from Rfam.
GCUGGGCGUGGUGGCAGUGCCUGUAGUCCCAGCUGCUUGGGAGUCUGAAGCAGGGAAUUUGAAUUUGGGUUUGGGAAUUCUAGGCUGUAGUGCCGAUCUAUGUUGAGCAUCUAUGCCGAUCUAUGCCGAUCUAAGUUGAGCAUCAGUAUGGUGACCUCUGUGGAGUGGGGCACCACCAGGUUGCCUAAAGAGGGGUAAACUGGCCUAAGUUGGAAACAGCACAAGUCAAAACUCCUAUGCUGAUAAGUAGUGGGAUCAAGCCUGUGAAUAGCCACUGGAUUCCAGCUGGGCAACAUAGAUAGACCCUGUCUCUU